This is a long non-coding RNA of Sphaeramia orbicularis (orbiculate cardinalfish), 3126 nucleotides long. RefSeq lists it as uncharacterized. The record is from RefSeq and is a predicted model, not a curated record. The transcript is spliced from 2 exons. NCBI's taxonomy places the organism in Eukaryota, Metazoa, Chordata, Actinopteri, Kurtiformes, Apogonidae.
UGACUAUAAUACAGUGUUUGCCUCUGCAUCCGUCCACAGCCGUUCAUUGCUUAGCAUUCAUACUCCUGUGUACCUCUCUAAAACACGUACCACUAUGGAUAAGUACCUCAUACAACCAACCUUCAAAAACACCCACACGGACCCUUUACUGACAAAUGGCAAGUUGCUGUUACACAGGAACCUCUUUGCCUGCUUAGCUGUCUUUGUAAAGUAUGUGCUCGUGUCUGUGAUAAUGUACAGUAAGUAAACACUAUUCACUAUAUAAUGCUGCUAAUUAGCUCCGACAAUUUGAGACUUGAGUUUCAGUGUCUUUUUCAUUCAGGGUUGCAAGAUUUGUUGUACCUUACCUUUGCUGCUGUUGUGGUGUCUUUUCGUUUCAUUGCAUCCCUUAGUAGAGUGCAGCUGUAUUUUCUUUAUUUUUAAUUCCUUUGUGUUGCUUAAUACCUCAAAAAGAUCGCAGUGGCCUUUUUAUCAGCAGAAAAAUCUGUUUGUUUCUGCAUGAUCAAAAUGUAGACAAAAUCCAAUCAGCUGAUUUAAAAAUAACUGCAAUGUCACUUUUUACAAAUUCCUGGUAUAUUAUUAUUACAACAAUAUAUACAGUAAGUUGCGUAGUUUAAAACCAAUGUAUAACAACUGUGGUACUUCCUGUACCUUGUAUAUGUAGAUGUCAGUAGUGUAAAUGUUAUAGAACUCCUUCAUAAUAUCAUGGAGUAGAUGUGCACGUAGCUAAUGUUUAUGCUAAUCGACGACCAGCGCUAAUGCUAUGAAACAAAAGCAUUGAGUGCAACUGAAUAUUUUAUUUUGAUUUCAUUUUUCUACCAUGAAAAGUCAAUGCCUGAAUUGACCAUUUUUCAGCUUUUCUGACCAUUUCACACCACUUGCCUUUCAAUCUGCAUUGUGCCAUUGCCUUGAUGGCAACAACUUUCACAACAGUGCAUUGCCUUAAAGCUUCUUUAAUGUGUCCGAUCCAUCACCAGUAGAAACUCCUUUGUCGUAAAGGAGAGUAGUAAUCUUACCUACAUUCCUUCACAAACAGCUAGUUGGUGAUUCACUCUGUAAAUAAUGUAAAGACAUAGUAUUUUUCUGACUAUAAAUAUGUUUACAUAGCAUUACAAUGAAGGGUAAGGUAUGAGAGAGCACAGUUGUUUUCCAUAGGUCAAAGCCUGCAUGUUUCAUUCGAUCUGCCCGGGGUGUUGGCAUGCUUUGGGUAUCUUCCUCUUCCCUGUGAUGCAAAUGAAGUCGAUGAACCGGUGAAACAGAAAAAGCCCAGUCACAUGUCCCUGUGUGUGUGUGGCCUCAUUUACAACUUCACAGAGGAUCAGUUCAAGGAAGCACUGAAAUUAUGCAUACAUUCAACUUUCAUUUAGCUAAACAUCUUGUGGAAAUUUGUCUUUUAAUCUUAAAAAAAAAAAAAAAAAAGGAACUUUAUAUGUUUGCAGCUCAGUGGAAGUGAGUAUUUGAAGCAGAGUUCAAGUACUAAUUUAACUUUUCCACAUUAUCAUAACAUGAAAGGUAGGAACAUUUGGUAUAUUGCUGUACAUUUUGAUUUAAAAGCAGAAUUUUGACUUAUUGAAUCCUACGCAACUGACACAGCUGUCAGCCUUUUGGGCAGAACAUGAAAUAUUUACACCAGUGAUAAAGUUUCAUAUAAAUAUGGCAAGCUGUUUUAACUAAUACACCACAUAUACUCCUGCAGAUAUCAGUCAUAUCUUGGCAGGACAAAUGAUAUGGUUAUGUUUGCCCUUUUAACAUAUGUAUUGGGCUUUCAGAUGUCCUAUAUCUAUAAUUCUUACAUGAAAAAAAAACAAUACAACAAUCUACAAUACAAUCAUUACUUAUAACCUUAAAUUUCAGAUAUCUCUAUUUUAUUUUCAGUGUCUAAAAUAACAUCCAUCAUUAUGAAUAUCAACAACUGACAUGAUCAUAUCUACAAUUAAAAUUAUGACCAGAAACAAUGCAACUGUAGAUUCAACGGCUUUAACAUAAAAAGGUUAAUAUUAUAGAUAUCCAUUAUCACAUUUCGACUACUUAAAUUGUCUUAUGUUUUAGAAUGGUGGUCAAUCCCUCCAACAAUUAAUACUUGCAAUUUUGUUCAAUCAUUACAACUUUUUUACACAUAUCAACAAAUCAACAUAAUUUCUUAGUUUUACCAUUUCUGAAAUCUAAAAUGUUCUUGCAGUUAUGAUAGAAAAGUGAUUUAUACUUAAGCAGCUUGCCAUAUGGGGAAAACUUUUGCGUCUGUAUCCAAGGUAGAAAAUUAAUCCGUGCUACAACAACAAAGCUUUGCAAAUUACACUUUCUGUCUCCACCAGUUAAGCAGCCACAAAAGUACUGCAGUCCUUUAGUGGCUCUGGUUCCAAGUCUGACUCCAGUGCACUCAGUCCUUUGGCUCCUUUGUGUAUCCCACAAUGCCCCCUGCUGCCGUAACGGUGCUGCUUUCAACGGCUGCUCUUUAAAUAAUACCGGACGGGUUUACAGCAGCAGAGCCAAUGGUGGAGUCCAAACACUGGAUUUCUCCUUCCACAGCUUCCUUGUUAUAGCAUAGUUACCAUAGCAACACAGUCUAAACAUCAAUUACCGUGAUGGACAAAGAGGCCCGUAUAGUAAAAAGGUCAAUGCUGUUCCCACACUUUAUUAGAUUACAACUCCUGGAACGCCUUGUUUUCAUACAACUGGAAGUUUAUAAUAUGUGACGUUAAUAUUAUUUGAGUAUCUUAUGUCUUAUCUGUGUUCAUUUGAAUUUUAAGAUUAUAACAUGCCCCAUCUGUGAUUUCUUAUUUUUAUUUUGCCUUAAAAGUCAUUUUAUGUUCUGACAGAAUUUCACCACUGAUGUCCUUUUUCUGGAAAGGUAUGACUAGUUACUGUUUCCAUCUUGAAUGUGAUUGAUGGUGAUGAGAAUCUGUCCGCUGUAGUUUUCACACCUGAAGCAAAUAGGUGCUGUGCUGCUCUGCUUGGUCUUUUACAAUCUCAUAAUGAAAACAGAGAAGACUGAUCACUAUGUUAAAUGGUCAUAACUGAUCAUUAGACCGCAGGGCUGUAAAUUGUGAUGUUACUGUUGCAGUUUAUAUUUCGGGUGAUGACGUCCAAGAGAUAAAUAAAAUCACAUGUUGCUGUGUAAACUGAAAA